UGACCACGCCCCCUGCGCGGCUCGGCCAAUCAGAGGCGGCGGCUCCGAGCUCCCCCCGCCCGCCCUGAGGGCCCGGCCCGCAGUGCGCGAGAGCGGCCCCUCAGAACCUUCCCGCGCUUUUCCCAUAAAAACCGGGAUUCCAGCGGGAAUUCUCAUCGCGUCCCGGCCUAAAGGCUGUCCCGGCACACCUCUGCAGAGGGCACCGAGUAAUUGUUAUCCCUGAGGUUGUUACGGCUGCAAAACUGCUGCUGUAGGGAUCGCCACGCUCCAAAAAAGAUAGAAUGUGGGAAAAUACUACACAUUACUACACUCUGCUCUUUAAACUGGCCCUUCCGGCACAUCCAGUCCGUACAUAAAGGAUGCACAUUGCUUAUACAUGAAGGUUUUCUAGCAGGAAAGUUUGUAAGUUAUUCACGUGAGAUACUUUAUAGGAUUAAUUGCAUAACAGAAAUACACAGAUCUGAGUUUGGGGUGAAUUACCCCAAAUUUGAGCACCCAAAAGCGGAAUUCCCCAGGACACGCUGCUGCUGCCUCCCCUGAGCGUGGCACUGUGCUGCCUCUUAAGCACUAAAGCAAACUGAACCCCACAAAAUAAUUUUUUUUCUCAAUCUUGCAAUAUUUUUGGAUGUUUUUACUGCUUCAUAAAUUCAUUAUUACAGCAGGUCACUACUCCUAAAUACAUGAAUUACGGAGGGAAUUGUGUAUAUCCCAGCAAUCAGGGACAUGCUCCUGCAUAGGUGUUGGUUUCUCUUGCAGCUAAAAUAUCCACGUGUGCCUGCACAUCCAGGGCUCAGGGUGAAUAUAUCGAUUUAUUUCCUUGCCCUGUGGAUGCCCAGAGCUGUUGGGAUGCUGCAUUCCCACGGGACAUGGAUGGAUUUCCCCAGAGCUCUGCCAUGUGAACUCCAGCUCCACAAACACUGCCUGAGGUGCCUGCAGAUAACAGAGACUGGGACUACAGAGCUGCUUUUGUGGGAGACAGGAGCCUUAUCCAGGAAAGGAAAUCUGACUCUUCCCACAGCAAGCAGCCUGGGAACGUCACAAACCCUGAAUUAUCCCUGCUUGACGAGCUACAUCUGCUUUCAGAGGAUCUCAAAUCAUUUCAUAACCCUGCCUUUCACUUCAGUGCUGCUGCCUCGAGGUCGGGAUAACAUCACACAGAGCUGUUUCUCACUCCUGGAAGCAGAGGAAGGAGGAAACCCGACCUGCACAUGAUUGCACCAUCUGCUGGCAGCAUCUCCAUGGACAGACAUUCCUAGAAGGGAUUCUGCAAUUCCUCAUUGUCUUACUUUGGAGGACAGGUGUCUGCUGAGAAAGGCAGGAGCUUCUCUUUGAAAUGGAGAAUGGAAACCC
This is a long non-coding RNA of Catharus ustulatus (Swainson's thrush), 1350 nucleotides long. RefSeq lists it as uncharacterized. NCBI's taxonomy places the organism in Eukaryota, Metazoa, Chordata, Aves, Passeriformes, Turdidae. The record is from RefSeq and is a predicted model, not a curated record. The transcript is spliced from 3 exons.